CUCAGCCUCCCAAAGUGCUGGGAUUACAGGCAUAAGCCACCAAGCCUGGCAUUUUUGUAUAUUUUGUAGAGACAGGGUUUCACCAUGUUUUCCAGGCUGGUUUUGAACUCCUGAUCUCAUGUGAUCCUCCUGCCUCAGCCUCUCAAAGUGCUGGGAUUACAAAGUGUGUGAGCCACUGUGCCAGGCCAGAACCUCUUGCUUUAACACCCUGCUUCAUCCUAGGUCUCUGGAUCUAGUUUCUGAUUUUCUUUUUUUUUUUUCGAGAUGGAGUUUUGCUCUUUUUGCCCAGGCUGGAGUGCAAUGGCACGGUCUAGGCUCACUGCAGCCUCCACCUCCUGGGUUGAAGUGAUUCUCCUGCCUCAGCCUCCCGAGUAGCUUGGAUUACAGGCGCCUGCCACCACGCCCAGCUCAUUUUUUUUUUUUGUAAUUUUAGUAGAGCAGGGUUUCACCAUGUUGGCCAGACUGGUCUCGAACUCCUGACCUCACCUGACCUCAGGUGAUUUGCCCGCCUCGGCCUCCCAAAGUAGUGGGAUUACAGGCGUGAGCCACCGCACCUGGCCUGAUUUUUUUCUUUUUUUCUUUUUUUGAGAUGGGGUCUCACUCUGUCACCCAGGCUGGUGUACAGUGGUGUGAUCAUAGCUCACUGCAACCCUGAACUCUUAGGCUCAAGCAGUCUUCUCAUCCCAGCCUCCCUAGUGGCUGUGCCUACAGCCAUGUGCCACCAAGCCAGGCUAAUUUUUAAUUUUUUUCCUGUAGAGAUGGGGUCUUGCUAUGUUGCCUGGGUUGGUCUCGAACUCCUGGGCUCAAGCUAUCCUCCCAUCUAGCUUCCUAAAGCAUUGGGAUUACAGGUUUGAGCCACAGCACCUGGCCUGCCCCAUCUCUUAAAAAAAAAAAAAAAUAGUGAGGUUGGUGGGGUGGGGCACCAGUAUGUUUUAAAGCUCUGAGGCAAUUCCAGUGUGCAAAGCUUGAGUACUGCUGUUCUCAGUCAAAUCCCUGCCAUGGAGUAGACAGACUCCUGGGAGUUGAUGCCUAACUGUCAUUAUUAAGAAGACACCAAAGCCAGCUGUGGUGGCUCAUGCCUGGCAUCCCAGCACUUUGGGAGGCCGAGGUGGGUGGAUCACCUAAGUUCAGGAGUUUGAGACCAGCCUGGCCAACAUGAUGAAACCCCCUCUCUACUAAAAAUAAAAAAAUUAGCAGAGCAUGAUGGCGGGUGCCUGUAAUCCCAGCUACUCAGGAGGCUGAGGCAUGAGAAUCGCUUGAACUGGGGAGGUGGAGGCUGCAGUGAGCCAAGAUUGCGCCACUGCGCUCCAGCCUGGGUGACAGAGCGAGACUGUCUCAAAAACAAACAAACAAACAAACAAAACUAUUUUAGUAAAAGAAAACUCAAAAUUGCCUUAUCUGAUUGUCCCUUUCACAGAAAUCCACCUAGAUAAAAUCAAAUGCCAUAAAGAGAAAGAUGUGAAUGGUCAUUAUUUUAUUUAUUAUUUAUUUAUUUAUUUUUGAGAUGGAGUUUUGCUGUUGUUGCCCAGGCUGGAGUGCAGUGGCUUGAUCUUGGCUCACCGCAACCUCCACCUCCCGGUUCAAGUGAUUCUCCUGCCUCCGCCUCUCGAGUAGCUGAGAUUACAGGCAUGAGCCACCAUGCCCAGCUAAUUUUUGUAUUUUCAGUAGAGACGGGGUUUCUCCAUGUUGGUCAGGCUGGUCUCCAACUCCCGACCUCAGGUUAUCUGCCUGCCUCGGCUCCCAAAGUGCUGGGAUUACAGGCAUGAGCCACUGUGCCCAGCCUGCGAAUGGUCAUUAUUUUUAUACCAAAUAAAUAUAGUAGCCACCAGUAAAUUCAUUAGUUAAAAAGGGUUUUCAGCUGGGCAUGGUGGUUCACGCCUGCAAUCCCAGCACUUUGGGAGGCCUAGGUGGGUGGAUUACGAGGUCGGGAGAUCAAGACCAUCCUGGCUAACACGGUGAAACCCCGUCUCUACUAAAAAUGCAAAAAAUUAGCCAGGCAUGGUGGCGGGCGCCUGUAGUCCCAGCUACUUGGGAGGCUGAAGGAGGAGAAUGGCGUGAACCCGGGAGGUGGAGGUUGCAGUGAGCCGAGAUUGUGCCACUUCACUCCAGCCUGGGUGACAGAAAUUCUGUCUUAAAAAAAAAAAAGGGUUUUCAAGGCCAGGUAAGGAGGUGGCUCACGCUUUCUAAUCUCGGGAAGCCGAGGUGGAAGGAUGGACUGAACCCAGAAGUUCGAGACUGGCCUGGGCAACAUAGUAAGACCCCGUCUCUACAAAAAAUUAAAAAUUUGGCCAGGUGUGGUGGCACUACCUGUGGUCUCAGCUACUUGGAAGGCUGAGGCAGGAGGGAGGAUCACUUGAGCCUGGGAGGUGGAAGCUGCAGUGAGCUGUGGUGGUAGCACUGCACUCCAGACUGGAUGACACAGCAAGACCCCGUCUCAAAAAAAAUUUUUUUCCAGACUCCCAUUUUAACAGACUGUUUCUGCCGGGUGCAGUGGCUCACGCCUGUAUUCACAACACUUUCGGAGGCCGAGGAGGGUGGAUCACUUAAGGUCAGGGGUUUGAGACCAGCCUGGCCAACAUGGUGAAAACCCGUCUCUACUAAAAAUACAAAAAUUAGCCUGGCAUGGUGGCUGGCGCCUGUAGUCCCAGUUACUCAGGAGGCUGAGGCAGGAGGAUCGCUUGAAUCCGGGAGGCAGAGGUUGCAAUGAGCUGAGAUCGUGCCACUGCACUCCAGCUUGUACGACAGAGCAAGACUCCAUCUCAAGAAUAUCCCCCAAAAACAACAAAAAACCUCAGACUGCUUCCCUGAAAUUCUUCUAAAGAAAAUGCCUGACAGGAAAUAACUUAAGGAUAUUGUGGGUUUUUAUUGUUGCUACUUCGAGAUGCAGUUGUAUCUCUAGAGACACAGUGGGGUCAGAUCAGAGAUGGGGUUCAUUCAGGGGCACCCCCAGAACUGGGAGAGUCCUCGGCUUCCACAUACCCGUUAUGGUGCUCCGUGGCCACCAGGGGGCAACAAUACGUCACUGUUCCAGCCCAGGGAGCGGCCAACCAGAGCUUGGACCUGGGGUGUCCCAGGAGCCACCUAGACCGGCUGGUUCCUUCCAUACAAAAGACCUCCAGGUGGGAUGGGGGAGAGACACCCCACAUUCGAGUGGGAGAAAAACAUGGAAAAGACACAGAGGCAACAUUAUAUUUCUUUCCACUUGUGUAAUUUAAGCUAAAGCCAAACAGCUAGAAAAUAUACUUUUUUUUUUUUUUUUUUUGGAGACAGUCUUGCUCUGUUGCUCAGGCUGGAGUGCAGUGAUAGGAUCAUAACUCACUGCAAGCUCCGCCUCCCGGGUUCAAGCCAUUCUCCUGCCUCAGCCUCCCAAGUAGCUGGGACUACAGGCACCCGCCACCACGCCUGGCUAAUUUUUG
Molecule: long non-coding RNA, 3416 nt
Filed under: Homo sapiens (human)
Lineage: Eukaryota; Metazoa; Chordata; Mammalia; Primates; Hominidae
Description: HSALNT0261053
Source: RNAcentral